GGGGGUUAGUCUUAACCAGUUAUGACCAAGAUUGUAGCUGUCUCCCUUGUCUUUUUAUUUAUCGACACGUUUGGUAAACUUAUGUUUAUUAAAUAACAUUCUCAGUUUUGAUCAAUCAUGGAAAUUUAAAUAUUCACGAGGUUAUGCAAUAAGCAAGGUUAACAACAACUUGAUGACCGACGGGGGUAACUAAAGCGGAUGUAUCCGUCAUUUGUACAGUGACGAAGUGCAUUAGUAAUAAAUUUUUUUCUUCUUUUUCAUUGUGCCUUUUUUUAUAUUCGCGGUUAAUUCGCCCAUCAUAUAGUCUGGUUUUGAUUUUGAUUUCCACCAAGUAUGUAAUUAGUGUGAAGGUGUUGGUUCUCAAGGGGUGGUGGCAACUCAAGAU
Molecule: non-coding RNA, 385 nt
Organism: Paramuricea clavata
Lineage: Eukaryota; Metazoa; Cnidaria; Anthozoa; Malacalcyonacea; Plexauridae
Source: the annotation of a GenBank genome assembly